RNAcentral lists this unclassified non-coding RNA (329 nucleotides) under soil metagenome. RNAcentral describes it as "partial contains 5.8S ribosomal RNA, internal transcribed spacer 2, and large subunit ribosomal RNA". The stretch from base 1 to 120 matches the Rfam family "5.8S ribosomal RNA", at positions 35 to 154 of the family's 154-position model. The record is from RNAcentral.
GAUGAAGAACGCAGCGAAAUGCGAUAAGUAAUGUGAAUUGCAGAAUUCAGUGAAUCAUCGAAUCUUUGAACGCACAUUGCGCCCCUUGGUAUUCCGAGGGGCAUGCCUGUUCGAGCGUCAUUAUAACCCCUCAAGCUCAGCUUGGUGUUGGGGCCUGCUGCACUGGCAGCCCUUAAAAUCAGUGGCGGCGCCAUCUGGCUCUAAGCGUAGUAAUUCUUCUCGCUAUGGAGUCCUGGUGGAUGCUUGCCAUCAACCCCCAAUUUUUCUAUGGUUGACCUAGGAUCAGGUAGGGAUACCCGCUGAACUUAAGCAUAUCAAUAAGCGGAGGA